UAUUUUCCAUAUGUGGCAAGGGAAAAUGCAGCUCGGUGGUUCCUGACUAAAUUUUAUUUUGCUUUCACUUUCUGCCAUUUUCAGUUCCUGUUGCUGCACUCUGAGACUCACUGAAGUGCAGCAAUACUAGUCUUUGGCCGGUGCUACAAGGGACAAGGUUGGCCUGCAGCCAGGCAGCAGGAGACAUUAUUAACGCAGCUUCCACACAGUUCCCGCUCAGGAACCUCUGCAAAGAAACGAAUAACCCUGGAUCGGUGCUACUAAGCACUGUUUGAAAAUGCUUCACUGCAAAAGAGUGGCAAGGAUUUUACAAGAGCUAUGAAAAAAUCCCACUGCACCAAAUGGCCCUUCCCAUUUAUUCAGCUUGCUCUGAUGAGAAAGACAUCUACUUGCCGCCACAUGAAGGGGCACCUUGCUGUCACUCACUGUGCAUGCACCUCCUGCUGUCCUCACACCAUCAGUGGGCCUGACACCGUGUACAGCCAGCCAGAAACUGGGGAGGCCAAACAAGGACGGCAGCAGAGCCAGCAGGCCAGCACAGCCCGCUCCCUCCCAAGGCUUCUGGGAAGCAGUGAAGGUUAGUAGUGAAGGUUCUAGUCCUGGCUUCGGCAUGUACCAUCUCCAGAGCCUUGAAAAAGCCAUGAGCUCUCUGAGCUAUAUUUUCAUCAUUUGAAAAAUGGGAACUAAAGUCACCUACACCACUCAUUGUGUUGCAAGGACCAAGGAGAUGAUUUGUGCAAAAUGCUGUUUUUAAAUACGUGGCCCUGCAGCACGGAGGCAUACAACUGUGGUAAACUGUGGAAUGAGGAGCAAUGUUACACAAGAAGCUGUUUAAGUGAGACUUUGGGAAACAAGGAAGAUUUUGUGUGAGAAGUGAAAUCUAAAUUGGAAAGUUAAACAGCAAAUAAACAACAAAUUGUUAAGUCAUUAUCUUUUAGGUCUCAGCUAAAGUGUUCCCCUGUUAGAGGCCUUUUCUGAUAGCCUUAUCCAAAGUACCCAGCAAACUUUACACUCUCCAUAAUAGUACCCUACGUAACCCUUUCUAGUACUUUAUUUUAAACUUAAAGUAAGUCUGGCUAGAACUACAGUACUGUGGUUCAAAUCCCAGCUCCGCUACUUUCAUAUUAUAUAAUCUUUAAUAUGUUACUUAGUCUCUCUAUGUCUCAGUUCCUUAACAAGACUGCUAAUUAAACAAGGUAUUUAAGUUUGGCUGGCUAAAUUGUGAUCAUGAGACAGAAAGGGAAAAGGUAGUAGGAACUAGUUCAAUGUCAGUGCCAGAAUCAGCAGGUAAAUUCAGAUAAGAGGAAAAGUACAGGUAACACUGCAGACAGGAGAGGAAGAAAAGCCAAAGGAAAGUUCUAGUGAAAUACGUACUUUUAUAUAAAUAUAUAUCCCUACAUAGCCAUAUGAUUAUAAUGUAUUUUUAUUACAUAUAAAAAGAGUGAGAGGAGACACACACAGAAAUAUAUAUAUAUAUAUAUAUAUAUAUAUAUAUAUAGAGAGAGAGAGAGAGAGAGAGAGAGAGACAGAGACAGAGACAGAGAGACAGAGAGAGAGACAGAGAUAGAGACAGAAACAGAGAAACAGCCAGAAAAUGUAUACAUACUUCUGAAGUUUGUUGUACUAAUGUCUGGAAGCUAAUGACCACCACUUUAAGCACCUCUUAUAAUUGUACAGGUUAAAGGUAACUUACGUUAAUCUCAUGAUGUCUCAAUAAAUUUACUACUAAUAUAUUUAUACAAGUUUUUCUUUUCAUGAUGUGUGUAUAUAUAUAUAUAUAUAUAUUUUUUUUUUUUUUGGUGGACUCUAUAUAUGUGACCAGUUAAAUGUGCAAAGCAAAGAAAAAAAAUGAU
Long non-coding RNA from Cavia porcellus (domestic guinea pig), 1853 nucleotides. RefSeq lists it as uncharacterized. The record is from RefSeq and is a predicted model, not a curated record. The transcript is spliced from 4 exons. NCBI's taxonomy places the organism in Eukaryota, Metazoa, Chordata, Mammalia, Rodentia, Caviidae.